RNAcentral lists this ribosomal RNA (540 nucleotides) under uncultured bacterium. Its description in RNAcentral is "bacterial SSU rRNA". It matches the Rfam family "Bacterial small subunit ribosomal RNA", at positions 777 to 1318 of the family's 1533-position model. The record is from RNAcentral.
AAUAGAUACCCGGGUAGUCCACGCCGUAAACGAUGAGUGCUAGGUGUUGGGGGGUUCCACCCUCAGUGCUGAAGUUAACACAUUAAGCACUCCGCCUGGGGAGUACGACCGCAAGGUUGAAACUCAAAGGAAUUGACGGGGGCCCGCACAAGCAGUGGAGCAUGUGGUUUAAUUCGAAGCAACGCGAAGAACCUUACCAGGUCUUGACAUCCUUUGACCACUCUAGAGAUAGAGCUUUCCCCUUCGGGGGACAAAGUGACAGGUGGUGCAUGGUUGUCGUCAGCUCGUGUCGUGAGAUGUUGGGUUAAGUCCCGCAACGAGCGCAACCCUUGACCUUAGUUGCCAGCAUUCAGUUGGGCACUCUAAGGUGACUGCCGGUGACAAACCGGAGGAAGGUGGGGACACGUCAAAUCAUCAUGCCCCUUAUGACCUGGGCUACACACGUGCUACAAUGGAUGAUACAAAGGGUUGCGAAGCCGCGAGGCCAAGCCAAUCCCAAAAAGUCAUUCUCAGUUCGGAUUGUAGGCUGCAACUCGCCUA